Molecule: long non-coding RNA, 3678 nt
Filed under: Capra hircus (goat)
Lineage: Eukaryota; Metazoa; Chordata; Mammalia; Artiodactyla; Bovidae
Description: lncRNA (ENSCHIG00010011312.1)
Source: RNAcentral
AUGGCUAGAGGUGGGGUUGCUGGCUCCAGGUGGGGUGGUGAUAGCCACAUCACAGAUGGUGCCAGAACCAAAAGAGAUAAAACGUACGAAAGGAGGGGGCAGGAAGUAAUGUCCUCUUCUGACUCCUUUGUGGUUUCGUUAGGUCCUGUCCAAUGCUUUCCACGCUGGAGGGACCAGUUUACUCCCCCGCCACGGUGGAGGAGAGGGCCUGUCCUCCUUAGCUUCCAGCUAGAAUCUGAAACUCUGGUCCCUUUAUCCUGCCUGUCUCUAUGCCAGUUUAGGGCUGAUGCCACCCAGCCCCCCACAAUGCACAGAUAACAGGCUCCUUUGUCCCGGCCUCCUGGUUCCUCAUUUGCCUUUCCUGUACUUGAGACCACUAGACAGUCGCUGAGCAGCCACCAACUUCCUGAGCAGUCCCUUCGUGUGCUUCUGAUGUUCCCUUUGCUCACCCAGAACCCGAGUGGUUGCGACUCUCUUACUCCUCUGCUCCGCUUGGUUUCUUGCAGUGAUCCUUCAUUGGGUUGGCUUGCUCUCCGUACAUUUAGAAUUGCUCUAAAAGUACAGCGGUUCGUUAUUUUCAGCCCUCCUCUGCCUUGGGGGACUUGAUAAAUGACUUCUUGUUUUACAUUGUUUCAUCGGGGCUCUCUUCUGAGUUNNNNNNNNNNNNNNNNNNNNNNNNNNNNNNNNNNNNNNNNNNNNNNNNNNNNNNNNNNNNNNNNNNNNNNNNNNNNNNNNNNNNNNNNNNNNNNNNNNNUGCCUUGGGGGACUUGAUAAAUGACUUCUUGUUUUACGUUGUUUCAUCGGGGCUCUCUUCUGAGUUCCCUUCUCUUCAGUGUCUUGGUGGCAGCCCUGUCUUCUGCCAAAAGUCUGUGAAUCCUCUAUCCUUGCGUGAAAGUUGUUUGGGACUCCGUAUUCCUAUAGUGUUCUUUGUUCUAAUUCUCUUAUGACUACUUUUCACAAAAAUCUGCAGAUAUUUUAGGAAAUGCCCUUUGGUUAUGAAUAGCUUCACCUCUCACAGUACUUUCCUUUGAACUGUUAAAAGUCAAUGGGGGUGGUUUUUCUGAGCUAGAUGGGUGGACUUUCUGUGAUUAUUUGUUGGGCAGGACCGAAAUUGACAUGCAAUAGCUGUUUCCCAUCGUGUGAUUCUUCCUAAGACAUACACCAUCUUUGAUGAUGAAUAUGGGACCAUUUCAUCUUGAUCCUACAGAUGUACUGUCAUUUAUCCUGAGGUGCAUCGGUGCUCUAGGUAAAUGUGACUGUCUUAUUCUUUAUUAAUUAUUGACUCUCUCUGCAGUUGCCACUUCUUUUCCAUCCUUCAUCAGGUUUUGAAAUCACACUGUAGGCAGCAUCCCCUGUGUGCCCAGCACAGUGUCUGGUUAGCUCUGCAGUCAAGACCCUUUCCAAGGGCCUGUGUUGUGCUGGGCUCUGGGUAUAGCCCUGGCAGGGUGAGCAAGGUCCCUCCCUGCCUUCACACGAUGUGUAUGGCCUUUUACCUACACUGUCUUUUGCUUUUAAUUCUUUCUCCAGUUGAAUGGUAUGUUACAGAUGAAGACACUGAGGCCCAGAUCAGAGCUAGUGAGUUGUAAAAUGGUGACCUCAGCCCAACUCCAAAAUCCAUGUAGUUUUCCUCCCUUGCAUGCCAAGUCCCCAUCUGAUGUAGAGGGCUUCAGAGUUGUGAAUACAAGGCGGGUGGUGGGCUGGGGCUGGAGAGACCAGCCUCCUCUGCUCAGGUCUCCCUUCAGUCCACAUGUGUUUAUCAGGAAGGGUCUGCCCUGUGCUGGAUGCUUCAAGUGACUUCCCUGGAUCCCACAGCACUUCUCUCAGCCUUCUGUCCUGCUGCAGAGGUGCCUGAAGCUACAGCACAUGCCCGGAAGAGGGCAGGGAGUAUAACAUUCUCUUCGAUUCUUAUCUGAGAACGAACAAGGAGCUACAAGUUGCAAGUAGACUCUUAGGACCAAGGGCCCUUUUUUUAGAAUACAGUUUUGAAAUGUUUAUUCUUUCCUUUUGAAAGGGCUUCUGUAGGUGUGGUGGGCUGACACAAAGGAGCAGUCACAGAACAAGGUCAAGUGUUCAAUUUCUGGACCACAAGCCUCACAGGUUAAACUUUGUUGACAUGAUGGAAUUUUUUAAAGAAUAGCAGGAUCCCAGAGCAAGGCCUCAAAGGAAGGCUCUCUGGGGAAACCUCUGUUUAGAAACUGAUCCUCAACCAUUGAACAGCUUGGAAGCUGGGAAACAGAGCUCUUUCUGCAUCUCUCAGGCCUUCGGAAUUGCUAAUGAACACAUGUCUAAAUGUCCCUUAUAAUGUGGCUUCUGCAUCUGUCCCGUGGAACUGGUCUGCUGGCUUCAGGGGCUAGACUGGAUCAGUGAUGAAAUUCCGGCUGCUGAACCAGAUGUGGAACUGCCUUGUUAAACUGGAGUCUUCUUGGCUCAGGCCCUCAUCAUCCCAUAGCAACUCAUGGAAAUACUGCUUCUUCCCAAGUAUAAACGUUCCUGCGAGGCCUAACACGUUACAAAAGUCGCUCUGAUACAUUUGUCAUCCUGACAGUGCUGGGAGGUACUUGAUUUUAUUCCCACUUUGCAGAUGAAGACGUAGAGGCAGAUAAAAUGAUUUCCCCGAGGUUUACUGCGCUGAUGAAGUGGCAUUAGGAGUGAACUUGGGCCUUCUGACAUGAGCUCGUACUCUUCCCUACCCUGUGGGAAUGAGGUGGGAGAUGCCCUGACUCCGGAAGCCUGUCUGGGGACCCCUGUUCUGGUCAGAAGUUGUUUUAAAUUUUUUAAAUUUAAUUUAAGAAAUUUAUUCAUCCCAGUUCUACGUGAGUAUCCACUGUGUUCCUAGCUCUGUGCUACAUAUCUGUGCUCUGUGCUGGGUCCCACACAAGCUAGCACGUCGCUAGACUCAGGUACUAGAGAUGAAUGAAAAACUCUCGACUUACAGGGAGCUGACAUCUAAGCAGCCAGUCACAAUACAGAGCGAAAUGCAACAGAGGCCAGAACAGAGGAACAAAGCCCUGAGUUUCUGAGACACUAAGGAAGGGGAGUAGGAAAAUCUUCACUGAGACUGGCAUUUGAGCUGAGUUGUGAAGGAUGAGUGAAUAGUAUUUUAGAAAGGAGAAUUUGGAAAGGCAGGGUGUUGGGAAUAAUUUGACAUGUUUGGGAAUAUGUGAUUCAUUGUGGCCAGAGCACUGUGUGGGACCGAGGGUCUCAAAGUUUAAUGUGCUUAAGAGGCCCACCAGGGUGUACCCCCAAAGACUCCAGUGUGGAAGGUAAGAUCUGGGGUAGAGUCCAGGAGGGGCGCCGGCCAGGGGAGCAGGCGCAGUAGUGUCCCACGCCGAGCAGACAGCCGCUUCGUCAGGCUUGACCACCGUGCUCGGGCGAUUUGCAGGCUGUCCUCUUGACAGCUGUGUUUUGCGGGCUUCCUCAAACAUAGUUUUGAUCAGGUCCCUGUCCCGCUCCCGUGUGCUGUCAGUUGGCAGGCUUGGUGAUGAGCCACAGAAGCUGGCUUUGAGUAGCUCAAGUAGAAAAGGAGUUUAUUGGCAGGAUGGUGUGUGGACUGAUCAGAGAAGCGGGAGAGCCAGACCAGGAACACGGGCCAGAGCCAAGGGCAGCUCGGCAGCAGAGUCCUGCUAAGGAGAGGCCGGAGCAGCCUGUUUAGGACCCGCCACCUCGGUGGCCUCUGCU